GUCAAUCCCUAGCUGCUUCUUGUAAUGAAUGCGGAAAUGCCCUUAAAAACAUGUCUUCAUCUGGGACAUCUGGAGGUUUCAUUAAAGAGCAUAAUGUGUAGAACUCCUCCAAAUGUCUACGUGGGCAUUCACCUGCAAAACCAUGAAACCUAGGCAGCAAAUCUAUCAGUCCAGUGUCGAAAACACAACGAACAUCCUCCUUAUCAAGUGGAAACGGCUCCCUAGGAUCACUCUCAUGAGAUGGAGGAGGAUCCUUACUGUUCUCAACAUAGAAAUCAAUAGAAGAAUCAUAAUCAUAGGUACAGGCAGAAGAAACAAUAUCCACAUAACCAAAAUAAGUAGACAUGGGAAAGAAGGGGGAAAAGAAGAAUGCAAUGAAAAUAUGCAACUAAAGCUACCUAACUGCAAAACACAAUGACGAACACACAAAACAAAACAUCACACUCACAACAUAAGACAAGACAACACACAUUAACACAACAGAGGACGUAAAACCGAAUCGUUGUUCCUCGGCAACAACGCCAAAAUUUUGAUGGGAGUCGCGCCCCAUGCAAAAUUUAAUGUGCAU
RNAcentral lists this long non-coding RNA (568 nucleotides) under Vigna radiata. RNAcentral describes it as "long non-coding RNA (VRAD_LNC014770)". Lineage: Eukaryota; Viridiplantae; Streptophyta; Magnoliopsida; Fabales; Fabaceae. The record is from RNAcentral.